Molecule: unclassified non-coding RNA, 1309 nt
Filed under: Ooceraea biroi (clonal raider ant)
Lineage: Eukaryota; Metazoa; Arthropoda; Insecta; Hymenoptera; Formicidae
Description: uDP-N-acetylglucosamine--dolichyl-phosphate N- acetylglucosaminephosphotransferase, transcript variant X2
Source: RNAcentral
AUGAAGACGGACGACGAAACGUGGAAAUUGUUAUUUCCAAUAUGUAUUAACGCGGUAAUGUCCGUGAGUGCGUAUUGCUUAACCGUACAUUUAAUUCCAAGAAUAAAAGACAAGUUUAUCAAAGCUAACCUCCACGGCGUCGACAUGAAUAAGAGAAGCGGAGAUAAAAUACCUGAGGCGAUAGGUGUUGUUACAGGAUGUAUAUUUCUCAUAACAAUGUUUCUAUUUAUCCCCGUACCGUUUACAGAUUACAUAUUUAGAAACGAACAUUUCCCGCACAAUAAGUUUGUGGAAUUUUUGGCUGCAUUACUGUCCAUAUGUUGCAUGCUACUUUUGGGCUUUGCCGAUGAUGUCUUGGACCUCCGUUGGCGACAUAAAUUACUUUUACCCACUAUAGCAUCUUUGCCACUACUGAUGGUUUAUUACGUUAACGUUAACUCCACGAUUGUCAUCGUGCCAAAACCAUUGAGACCAUGGCUUGGUUUCUCACUGGACUUGUGGAUAUUCUACUACGUAUACAUGGGAAUGUUGGCUGUGUUUUGUACAAAUGCCAUAAAUAUAUUAGCCGGGAUAAAUGGUUUGGAAGUUGGACAGAGCUUGAUCAUUGCCGCGAGCGUUCUUAUCUUUAACGUCACAGAAUUAUUUGGCGGCCAAUGGAAGGCACAUCAGUUUUCAAUAUACUUUAUGCUGCCGUACAUGGCUACUUCCCUCGCAUUGUUCAAGUUUAAUCGGUAUCCGUCGCAAGUUUUUGUGGGCGAUACGUUUUGUUAUCUAUCGGGAAUGACCUUCGCCGUAGUCGGCAUCUUAGGUCACUUCAGUAAAACGUGUUUGCUCUUCUUCAUUCCUCAAAUAGUAAAUUUUUUAUAUAGCGUGCCGCAGCUCUUUCACUUCGUACCGUGUCCCAGGCACAGAUUACCAAAGUAUAAUAAAGAAACGGACAAAUUGGAGCCUAGUACGACUGUAUUUCAUAAAUCGGAUCUCAAUGCGAUUGGAAGAUUAUUGAUGUGGAUAUUAAAAAUUUUCAAGUUGGUAAAGUGGCAAGAAGACGAAAAAGGCAUUGUAAUUUGCAACAAUCUAACGUUGAUCAAUUUUAUACUGAUUAAUGUAGGCCCAUUGAGAGAACCAACGCUUACAUCAAUUUUAAUGAUAAUUCAGGUUAUUUGUAGUGCAGUAGCUUUCGUUAUUAGAUAUCCCUUGGCUUCCAUAUUUUAUGAUGUUUAAAUAGGCGCACAAUUGUACGUUUUCUCAUGUAUGAAAUGUAACGUACAUAUUUAAAGGGUAAUUAUUAUUAGGAUCCUAAGAAACACAU